CGCGAAUGGCUCAUUACAACAGCUAUAAUUUACUUGAUCUUGACACAAUCCUACUUGGAUAACUGUGGUAAUUCUAGAGCUAAUACAUGCAUUAAAGCUCUGACCUCACGGGAAGAGUGCAUUUAUUAGAACAAAACCAAGCGGCUUCGGCUGUUUCUGGUUGACUCAUAGUAACUGAGCUGAUCGCAUGGUCUUGCACCGGCGACGUGUCUUUCAAGUAUCUGCCGUAUCAACUUUCGAUGGUAGUGUAUCUGACUACCAUGGUGAUCACGCGUAACGGAGAAUAAGGGUUCGGCUCCGGAGAGUUCGCCUGAGAAAUCGCGAACACAUCUAAGGAAGGCAGCAGGCGCGAAAAUUACCCACUCUCAGCACGAGGAGGUAGUGACGAAAAAUAACGAGACCGUUCUCUUAUGAGGCCGGUCAUCGGAAUGGGUACAAUUUAAACCCUUUAACGAGUAUCUAUGAGAGGGCAAGUCUGGCGCCAGCAGCCGCGGUAAUUCCAGCU
RNAcentral lists this ribosomal RNA (505 nucleotides) under Cervidellus vexilliger. RNAcentral's name for it is "SSU rRNA". It matches the Rfam family "Eukaryotic small subunit ribosomal RNA", at positions 88 to 590 of the family's 1831-position model. Lineage: Eukaryota; Metazoa; Nematoda; Chromadorea; Rhabditida; Cephalobidae. The record is from RNAcentral.